AUUGAACGCUGGCGGCAGGCCUAACACAUGCAAGUCGAGCGGUAGAGAGAAGCUUGCUUCUCUUGAGAGCGGCGGACGGGUGAGUAAUGCCUAGGAAUCUGCCUGGUAGUGGGGGAUAACGUUCGGAAACGAACGCUAAUACCGCAUACGUCCUACGGGAGAAAGCAGGGGACCUUCGGGCCUUGCGCUAUCAGAUGAGCCUAGGUCGGAUUAGCUAGUUGGUGAGGUAAUGGCUCACCAAGGCGACGAUCCGUAACUGGUCUGAGAGGA
Molecule: ribosomal RNA, 270 nt
Filed under: uncultured bacterium
Lineage: Bacteria
Description: partial 16S ribosomal RNA
Rfam family: Bacterial small subunit ribosomal RNA
Source: RNAcentral